AAGGUAAUAGCUCAGCAGUAGAGUGCAUGCUUAGCAUGCAUGAGGUACUGGGUUCAAUCCUCAAUAUCUUUA
RNAcentral lists this transfer RNA (72 nucleotides) under Camelus bactrianus (Bactrian camel). It matches the Rfam family "tRNA". From Rfam's summary of the family: Transfer RNA (tRNA) molecules are approximately 80 nucleotides in length. The record is from Rfam by way of RNAcentral. RNAcentral also lists the same sequence under 2 other names. Lineage: Eukaryota; Metazoa; Chordata; Mammalia; Artiodactyla; Camelidae.